UACGAAAGGGGCUAGCGUUGUUCGGAAUUACUGGGCGUAAAACGCACGUAGGCGGCCUUGUAAGAUGGGGGUGAAAUCACCGGGCUCAACCCGGGAACUGCCUUCAUGACUGCAAAGCUAGAGGAUGCGAGAGGUUAGCGGAAUUCCGAGUGUAGAGGUGAAAUUCGUAGAUAUUCGGAAGAACACCAGUGGCGAAGGCGGCUAACUGGCGCAUUUCUGACGCUGAGGUGCGAAGGCGUGGGGAGCAAACAGG
Molecule: ribosomal RNA, 253 nt
Filed under: uncultured bacterium
Lineage: Bacteria
Description: partial 16S ribosomal RNA
Rfam family: Bacterial small subunit ribosomal RNA
Source: RNAcentral